AUUGAACGCUGGCGGCAGGCCUAACACAUGCAAGUCGAACGGUAACAGGGAUCAGCUUGCUGAUUCGCUGACGAGUGGCGGACGGGUGAGUCAUGUCUGGGAAACUGCCUGAUGGAGGGGGAUAACUACUGGAAACGGUAGCUAAUACCGCAUAACGUCGCAAGACCAAAGAGGGGGACCUUCGGGCCUCUUGCCAUCGGAUGUGCCCAGAUGGGAUUAGCUAGUAGGUGGGGUAACGGCUCACCUAGGCGACGAUCCCUAGCUGGUCUGAGAGGAUGACCAGCGACACUGGAACUGAGACACGGUCCAGACUCCUACGGGAGGCAGCAGUGGGGAAUAUUGCACAAUGGGCGCAAGCCUGAUGCAGCCAUGCCGCGUGUAUGAAGAAGGCCUUCGGGUUGUAAAGUACUUUCAGCGGGGAGGAAGGGAGUAAAGUUAAUACCUUUGCUCAUUGACGUUACCCGCAGAAGAAGCACCGGCUAACUCCGUG
RNAcentral lists this ribosomal RNA (490 nucleotides) under uncultured bacterium. Its description in RNAcentral is "partial 16S ribosomal RNA". It matches the Rfam family "Bacterial small subunit ribosomal RNA", at positions 30 to 507 of the family's 1533-position model. The record is from RNAcentral.